Malaya genurostris is the source of this 1169-nucleotide long non-coding RNA. RefSeq lists it as uncharacterized. NCBI's taxonomy places the organism in Eukaryota, Metazoa, Arthropoda, Insecta, Diptera, Culicidae. The transcript has 3 exons. The record is from RefSeq and is a predicted model, not a curated record.
AUUUUCAAAAAUUUUGAUGAAAUCAGGCAUCCCUGCAAGCAGCUGAUCGGUGUUGACAAACGAGGGGAAACCAACUAGUAAAAAAACUUUUACGUAACACAAGGGGUGUACCGAUAGUAAAUAGUUCGCGCAGUACAAUAUAGGUGGAACUAGUGCAUCUCGAAAAAUUAUUUUCAUAAGAAUUUACUCAUACUGUCAUGUCUGUUAGUCUGUGACUAUAACUUGAGAAAACUAUUUGUAUUUAUGACUUUUCUAUUAUGGUCAUUCUAACAAUGGUUGUCAUCUCAAAACUAAGAACAAAUAGAUAAAAUAACCAUCACAAGGAAGGUGAAAUCGCUCAUGAUAAAUUUGAGAAGCGAAGUAGUUAUUGCUACCAUAUCAGUAUAUUCUUCUUUACAAUGAACAAAUGUUACCAUGAGUAUAUAUAUAUAGUUGGCUAGAAGAUUGUGAAGUUUGAAAACACUAUUCAUAUUGUUCAUAUGAACAGAAUUCAUGUGGUAACUACAUGAUCGUAUAGUGUUUUUCAACAGACUAUGUCUUUUAUUGUCAAUAAACGCAUCUACUUUUUUAUUGGACAUAACAAAGUUUCAGUAUGGCUGAAAAUUGCGUACGUGUAUAACAUAACUGGAGUGAUGGAUGCAGUGUAUUUUGUGAUUGUGCAUAAUUUUUCAUUUACAUUGGUCUUGAAGUCAAAUCGAAACGUUAUGUAAAUGGACGUCUUGUAUACGAAAAAAUAUAGGUCGCGGGGGAACAACAUAUACUCUGUAUGACGGAAGAAGUAGCAAGAUAUCUCAGUGCGCUGCUCAUUCUUGUUCCGGGAAAUACUUCACCGGAUAGUGAUCCAGAUUCCUGGAUCAGCAACUGCAACCAGUAAUGCUUCUACGUCAAUCAUGAACCUUUCAACAGACAACGGCGUAAUGAGUGAUGCAGCAUUGAACUGAUGUCACCACAUGAGCUGAAGUGACAGUUCCCAGUUCCAGACGGUUUAUGUCGACCAGCGGGCGUGAAAACGCACCGUUUCCGACGACAUCUGCCAUCGUAGCAUGAGGAUUCCUUCCUGAUGAGGACUCUGAGUCAAAUAUCGCCAUUCCCGUUGGAGGCUUGCUAUCCCAAGUAACAUUUUUAAUACUAAUAAAUACUUGUAGCUGUCUUCAAUGCUACAUAAUAAA